CACUUUCUGGGCAGUUUUGAGUACCUAACACUAAUUUGGACGAAAUUGGACUAAAACUUGACUCAAGACACUUAGAAACACAAACUAAAUUGAUUUCUAACUAAUCUAACACUUUAAAAUAAAUGGGGGAUUGAUUUUGACGAAAUUGAAAUUAAAACAGAGACUUGUAAACAAACUUCAAACAAAACAGAUUGUGAUGAAAUAGAAUGGUGAGAAACUAGUUAGAGGGUUCCUUAUCCACACAUGAACAUAUGCAUAUAAUUUGAUUCCCAGUUAUGACUUCAACAAACAAUGAAUGACAAUGCUCCAAGUUAAUUAGGUUCGCUUAAAUUAACUUUCAGAUUUCCCUAGAUUCAUUGGAUUGAAUGGGAUACGCAUUAAAACCAAAUUAUUCCUCAUCAAAGUCCCUAACUAUGGAAUACGCAUGAUAGAGAUAUUCAACAAAGAUCAUUAAGUUCAACGGAAAUCAUGAACAUCAACUAGGCAUUCAUAACUAUGGAAUACGCAUGUUAAUCCAGCCUAGGGUUUACUUAAACACAAUCGUGACUAGCGAUCUUUACUACUUAUGAAUAUAAGUUCAUAACGAUUAGGUGAAAUUCCCUUAUAUCCUAGCAUCAAGUUUAGGCAUGCAAAUUAAGUGUCGACCCUCAACCCACAUACAUAGACAAGUUCUUAAUCAAAACAGAAAAGUAAACCACAUCUAAAGUUCAUGAAUUCAUAACUGGAGUAAAUCAAAUCAUAACCAACGUAUGUCCAUGGCUUCAAAUUCGCCUCUAACUAAAAAGAAAUUAGUUCCACAUGUUUAACAUAAUUGAAAAGCAAAUUAAAUUAAACAUGAAAACAGAAACAAGAGAGAAAGAACUCCAAACACUCCACUAAUGGCAGAUUGCAUGUGCAAGGUUUCUCCCUCCUUUGGACUGCACGGCACUACUUCUUUCUCCUUCAAUGGUGGCUGCACGAGGUGGUGAUGGUGGUGGAAAGGUGCGGCUGUGGUGGAUGAAUGGUUAUUUGAAUAGGGUAGAAGGGUUAAGGGGAUUAGGGGGCACGGCAGAGACUUAGAACUAGGGAGAAUGAUGUGGUGGUUGCGGCAAGGCUUAGGGUAGAUUUCUGGAGAGAAUGGAUGAUAUGGGAGGUGGUGUUUUUGGCCAAAAGCUUUAAAGGAGUAUAUAUAGGCACUUAAAAACCCUAGCAAUCAGAUUAGGGUUUCUAGAAGCCCACAUCCAACAGAAAAUAGGUUAAAACAAUCAGAUUUUGCAUGGGAAAAGGCCUAGGGUUCGGCUGGUUUAGUGGGCUAAGGUUAAGGCUUCUAGAAUGCCUUGCAAGGCAAGGAAAUCAGGUAUUUAAAACCCUAGGUGUGGCAUAGGAUUAGGGAGAUCAGAUUUGGAAAUGGGCUAGGGUUUAGGUGCGGCAUAUGGUGAAUAUCCACAAAGAAUUAGGGCUUAGGUCCACUUAGUUUUAGACAGGGAUUUGUAUAACUCAAAUCCACAACUAAAGGCCCUAAUAAGUCAGAAAUUAAGAGAGAAUGGCUAGGAAGUGCGGCUCAAGUCCAAGAGGUAAGGAUAGGUCAUCCAAAAGCCCAACGCCAAGAAUAGAACUCACAAAUACGGAAACCUCCAAGAAUAGAAGCUUCCAACAUUAGAAACUUUGGUUUCCAAUUCCGACUUCUUUGUUCUUCACUUUCAUUUCUUCAUUUCUUAAGCUCCUUUGACCUUCAAACUCGUCCAUUCCUUGUGCUCCAAAAGCCUACACUUCAUUCCAGCUCAAUUUUGCUCCAAAUGCUCCGAAUUGCAUCAUUUUUUGUAAUGUGCCCUUUAAACCUGAAAACACAUGAAAGUAGCUCAAAAGACUACUUUAACAAAGAAAACAUAACGAAAAUGCAUAAGAACUAGCUAACUAAGGUGCAUAAAUAUGCUCCUAUCACCGGGGAUUAGGAGGGAUUGCUAAAUCACUUGAAAACUGACUCAAAUACGUAAAAACAAGUUUAAAACACUAAACUAGACUCAAAGAAUGCAAAACUAAACUUUAAAACACCAAAACAAACAAAAAGACUCAAAACAGCAAACAAAUACUCAAAACUGCCUUAAAACACUUUCUGGGCAGUUUCUGACACUCAGGACGAAUUUGGACGAAAAUUGAUUAUAACUUGACUCAAGACACUUAAAAACACAAACUAAAUUGAUUUCUAACUAGUAUGACUCAACAAAGAAAAGGGGGAUUGAUUUUGGACGAAUUUAAAAACAAAACAAAACUUUGUAAACUAAAACAGAUUUUAAAACGAAUUCGGAUGAUUUGAAUGGAUGGAAGGCUAGCUAAGGGGUUCAUCUCCACACAUGUCACAUUUGCAUAUAAAACGAUUUCCAAUUGCUUUUCAAUAAACCAUGAAUUCUCAACGCCCCAAGUUAAUUAGGUCCGCUUAAAUUAACCCUCAGAUUUUCCUUAAGUUAUUGAAUUGGAUGAAUUGCAUACGACAACCCAAAGCAUUCCCCACAAGUCCCCUACAUGAUUGCAUAAUAGAGAUACAAGCAAGAAUCAUUAAGUUCUAUGAAAACCAUAAGCAUUGACGAAGCACUUGUUACUAUGAUUGCAUGAAACUUAUGCCAAUAAUUUACUUAACACGAUUGUGAUCAACAACCUUUACUACUUGUGAAUUUAAGUUCAUAACGAUUAGGUGAAAUUCCCUUAUAUCCUAGCAUCAAAGUCAUGCAUGCAAACUAAGUGUCGACCCUCAAUCAACAUACAAGAAUAAGUUUUAAUUCACAUAGAUAAGCAAAUUGAACUCACAACUUAUGAAACGCAAUUAGAAGUAAUCAAAUCAUAUAGCAAGCAUAAACAUGGUUUCGAAUCCCCCCCUAGCCAAGGGGGUUUAGUUCCUCAUACUCGCAAAUAAACAAAGAUAAAUAAAUUUAAACAUUAAAACAAAGAUAGAAAACACCUAGAAACGCUCCACAAUCCAAGCUCCUUGAAUGGCAUGCACGGCUCCAAGAGUUCUUCCUUCUUCUCCUUUGCAAACUCACGGCACAAGAGGUAUAUUUGGGUGAAUGGUGUAGUGAAAAUAUGGUAGAGGAUGGUGACUAAAUGGUGCAGCAAAGGAUGGUAUUUAUAGGCUGAAAUUCGCAGCCCCUAUGUAGCAAAGGAAAAGGAUUUAAAAGCCUAAUUUGUAUAGGAUAAUAACACACAAUCCUUGAAGGAAAAGGCUAAGGCUUUUAGAAACCAAGGGGGAAAGGAAUAAUCAGGUUUCUAGAAAGGUUUGGGGCGUCACUUUUGUAGGACAAGGGAUAAGGCCUUCUAGAAAGGUUGUUUUGUGGCUGAUUUCUAGAAAAAAACAAGGGAUAAGGUGUGGCACCUUUGUAGGAGUGGAUAAGGGCUUCUAGAAACCAAUUUUAAUGUGUCCUAAUCUGAAAAUAAAUCCCCCAUGCAGCUGGAAUUAAAUUAGGAUAGGAUUAGGAUAGGAUAAGAUAAGAUAGGAUUGGAUAGGAUAGGGUUUGGAUAAUGUUUUGGAUAAGGUUUCUUCACUUGAGCUGAUUCUUUGGCUUCAACUUCCCUUCUUCAUGUAGGAAACCUUGUUUGAGUAGGAAACUUCAAUCUUCUAGGAAUCCAACUUCAACUAGGAAUCCAUCUUCAACUAGGAUUUCAUCUUCAAUUAAGCACUUUCCCACUUCAAUUAGGAAUCUUUGUAUCUUCAAUUCUUCAACUUCAAAACACAUUCCUAGCUUCAUCAAUCCUUCAAAUUCGUCCAUCCCUUGUGCUUCAUGUGCAUGAACUCCAUUCUAGCCCAAUUUUGCUCCAAAAUGCUCCAAAUUGCAUCCUUUUGCUCACUUUGUCUCUAAAACCUGAAAACACAUGAAAAUAGCUUAAAAGACUACUUUAACUAAGAAAACACAACAUAAAUGCAUAAGAACUAGCUAACUCAGGUGCAUAAAUAUGCUCCUAUCACUUUGACAUAGUCAAAGAUCAAGGGCCUAACCACAAGACAACUAUGAUGCCUUAGGUCAAAGGACUACUUUGCAUUAUCCUAACCAUGAGUUCUCAUGUGACAUGAGUAUGAGAACUCCUCGUUGAUCGUGUUCAGUGGACUCAUUCUCCAUUGAGCACCUACAUGCUUGUCUUGGUGUCAAUCACACCAAUGACUCGAGACUAGUCACUCUCCCUGAGAGAAACACAGCACGUACUGAUUUUAAUGGACUGUCAAUGCCCAAUUGGCAAUCCUAUGAUCAGGAACGUUUAGGAUAUGUAUACGAAAGAGAAUGGUCUCAUGAAUCUAACUUCUUUAAAUUACAUUCUCCUAAUUACAUAUUCCUUGGACUUAUUGUUUAAGCAUAUAACAUUUAUAUGAGACGGCUUAAAACAAUAAUCUUUGCCCUUGAUAUUAAACUAGAUUAGUUUAACAUGUAAAAUGUCCAUAAAGUAUCAUUAUAUGAUUGGUUUUAGGGCACAUUUCCAACACUAUCCUUUCCCUACAUUCAUGCCGCACCCUUAUCCUUCUAGAACCCUAAAUUGGUGACGUGAUCACCCUUUCUAGAAGACAUUAAAUAUAUGGCGCUUCUUCCUUUUCUAGAAGCCCUAGAAUCUGCUGGAAACCUCAAACCUUUUCAUCUUUGGUUUCUGCCAAACUUAGUCCUUUUCCUCAAGGAUUGUUCAAUCCUAAUCCUUAGGGAUUAUGCUGUGAGUUUGCCCUAUAAAUAUAUAUAUAUGCCGCACAAAUCAAUUAACCAACCCUCCCAAAUCAUUCUAAAAUCCUUUCAGCCCCAGAAACCACCAUUCUAUAACCUGUGCCUCAACUUUGGAGAAGAAGAUAUCCUUGCCGUGCAUUCCGUUGGAGAAGGAGGAACUUGUGCACAUGCCACCUGCAUCCUUGGGAGUUCUAAGAGUUCUUUCUUCCCUCGUUUUAGUUUCAAUGUUUAUUUCAAUUUGCUUUUCAAAUGCUAUGAACAUGUGUAACUAAGUUUUUCUUAGUUAGAGGUGAAUACAAAGCCAUGGAUAUAUGUUUAAUAUGAAUUGAUUCCCUUCAGUUAUUGUUUCAUAAAACAUGAAUGUGAUUUACUUAUCUAUUUGAUUGAUAACUUAUUCUUGUAUGUUGAUUAAGGAUGCAUACUUAGUUUACCUACAUGAAUCUGAUGCUAAAUUAUAAAGGACUUUCACCUAAUCGUUAGGAACUUAUAAUUACAAGUAGUAGAGAUUGUUAGUCACAAUCGUGUUAAGUUGAUUCUUGGCAAGAGUAUCAUGCAGUUCAUAGUUAUAAUUGUCUUGUCAAUGCUUAUGGUUUCCAUGGAACUUAAUGAUCUUCGAAUGUAUCCCUACCAUGCUGUUCAUAUAGGGAACUUGAGAAGAAUAAUUUGGUUGUGAUGCGUUGUCCAUUCAAUUCAAAGAAUUUAGGGAAAUCUGAGAGUUAAUUUGUGCAUUCACGAUUAAUUUGGGGCAUUGUCGUUCAUGGUUUAAAGAAACAAUACAGAAAUUGAUUUAUGUUGCAUAUGUUCAUGUGUGGAGAAGGACCCUCUAACUAGCCUAUUACACCAUUCAAUUCACCCAAUUUCAUAUCUAGUUUACUUUGGUUUGCAAUCUGUUUAGUUUUACUUCAAUUUCGUCAAAACGACCCCCUUUAAAACACCAAAAUUAUGUUGACACUCAAAUUAAACCCUCUUUUUAUCAAUUGUAGCAAUGUAUGUAAGUAGGGAUCGUUCUAGACCGGGGAUUAGGAGGGAUUGCAAAAUCACUUGGACAGGACUCAAAAACGUAAAACAAGUUUUAAACACUAAAAUAGACUCAAAGAAUGCAAAACUAAACUUUAAAACACCAAAACAAACCAAAAGACUCAAAACAGCACCAAAACACUCAAAACUGCCUUAAAAACACAAUCUGGGCAGUUUUGGACACUAAGCACCAAAUUGGACGAAUUUGGGUUUUAACUUGAAUCAAAACACUUAAAAACACAAAGUAAAACACUUACUAACUAAUUUGACACUUUAAAACAAAGGGGGAUUGGUUUUGGACGAAUUUAAAAACAAAACAAACUUUGUAAAUUAGAACAGAUUGAAAGAACGAAUUUGAUUUAAAUGGGUGAAUGGAAGGCUAGCUAAGGGGUUCAUCUCCACACAUGUUAUACUUGCAUACGAAACGAUUUCCAAUUGCUUUUCAAUAAACCAUGAAUUCUCAAUGCCCCAAGUUAAUUAGGUCCGCUUAAAUUAACCUUCAGAUUUUCCUAACGUUAUUGAAUUGGAUGAUUGCAUACGACAACCCAAAACAUUCCCCACAAGUCCCCUACAUGAUUGCAUAAUAGAGAUACAAGCAAGAAUCAUUAAGUUCUAUGAAAACCAUAAGCAUUGACGAAGCACUUGUUACUAUGAUUGCAUGAAACUUAUGCCAAGAAUUUACUUAACGCGAUUGAGAUCAUCAACCUUUACUACUUGUGAAUAUAAUUCCAUAACGAUUAGGUGAAAUUUCCUUAUAUCCUAGCAUUCAAUUUAUGCAUGAUAAUUAAGCGUGCACUCUCAACCAACACACACAAAUCAAUGUAAUCCACAUAGAUAAGUAAAUUGAAUUCACAACUUAUGAAACGCAAUUAGAAGUAAUCAAAUCAUAACGCAAGCAUAAACAUGUAUUCGAAUCCCCCCUAGCCAAGGGGGGGUUUAGUUCCUCAUAUGCACAAAACAAAGAGAAUUGAAUUUAAACAUUGAAAUCAAAGGAAAAGAAACACCUAGAAAUUCCAGCAGCUUCAACUUGAAUUUCAUGAACUCCCAAGCAUUCUUCUCAUCCUCCUUGGUGCGGCAAAGGACUUAGGGACAGGUUUAGGGCCUUAUGGAUGGUGUAGAACGAUUAUGGAUGGAUGUAUGAGUGUUUAGGGAGGAAGGAUGGUGCGGCAAAGGUGUAGAAUGGUGUAGGGAGGCUGCUGCAAGAGUGGAGAGCAGUUUGGACGAAUUUCUGGAGUUGUUUGUGAAUUGUGGUGAGUUGUCUUCUGAUUUAGGGGUUAAUAGGAGUAUAUAUAGGCACUUAAAACCCUAGGGUAAUCAGAUAUGGACUUGGAUAACCCAAAUCCACAAGGAAAUAGGUCUAACAAUCAGAUUUUGCAAGGGAAAAGGGGUCCUAGGUGCGGCUGGAUAGGAAUAAGGUGGAUAAGGCUUCUAGAUGGCCUUGCAAGGCAAGGAAAUCAGGUUUCUAGAAGGGAUAGGUGCGGCACUUAAAGGAUAGGGCAGAUUAGGGCUUCUAGAAACCCUCUAAUGCAAGGAAAACUCACGGCAAGGAUGGAUAAGGUUUCUAGAACAAGGAUAAGGUAUCUUAAAUGGAUAAGGACUCCUCAUUGCAUUUGGAAACUUUGCCUAUUAGGAUUAGGAAACCUUGUCUUUGUCAUUCCUUCUUCAUUCUGGAUUCCUUCUCCUUCUUGGACUUGGAAAUCUUCUUUGUAGCUACAACUUGAUGCCAUUUGGAUUUAACUUUCCUACUUCAAGUAGGAAACCUUGUUUGAGUAGGAAUCUUCAUCCUCAAGGAAUCCUAAUUCAACUAGGAAACCCAUUUUGACUAGGAAUCCUAAUUCAACUAGGAUUCCAUCUUCACUUAGGCGCUUUCCUACUUCGACUAGGAAACCUUGUUCAAGUAGGAAAAAUCAUCUUCAAAUCUUCAAUUUCGUCCAUCCUCUUGGCUCCAAGCAUAUGACAUCCAUUCCAAGCUCAACUUUGCUCCAAAAAGCUCCAAAAUGCAUCCUUUUGCAUACUUUGCCCUUAGAACCUGAAAACACAUAAAACUAGCUUAAAAGACUACUUAACUAAGGAAAAACACUAUAAAUGCACAAGAACGAGCUAAACUAAGGCGCAUAAAUAUGCUCCUAUCAGUUAAUAUAGGUUAGAAUUAGUCCAUAAACAUUGUUUGAGUCUUAAUUAGUCUUAAAUUCGUCCAAAUAACUCCCUAGCGUCUGUUUUGAGUCUAAUUGUUAGUAUGGUGCUGUUUUGAGUCUUUUAAGUGUGUUUUGAGUUACUUAAGUCAUAAUCUGUUUUCUUUUAGUCUUUUGAGUUAAAUUAAGUUUUAUUUUCGUCCAAAUCACUUGUUAGGUCUAGAAUUAAGUCUUUGUAACUUAGUUUUGCUGAUUUGAGUGUUUUAAGUCAGUUUAGAGUCUUUAGAGUCUAGUCUUGUGUUUUUAAGUCUAAUUUAGUGUUUUAAAGUUUAAUUUGCGUGUUCGAUUAUUUCACAUUAAGUGUGUGUGUAACAGAAGUGAGGGAAGAGAGACUGAGAGUGGCUAAAUCCCGCUUAGAAAAAUCUAAAUGAAAAUACCAAUUUACCCCUCCCUGUUUUUGAUCAUUACAAUUAAGCCCUCGAAGCUUCGUUUCGAAAUUCGUUUUCGAUUUCACAUCCACAUACAUGAAUAUAGUCAAGAAAACAUAAGAAAGAAUAAGAAAUUGGAUUGCGAGUCAAGGCUCGAAUAUUACUUAAGGCACCCACUCAGGGUUAAAAUAGUCAUUUCAUACAUCUCGGGAAUAAAAUACAUUAUUUUAAGGUAUGGGAAUACUCUAUGAUACGAUUCAAGAGUCUUUGGACAGAGCACAUGAAUGUGAUUAAGGAGUAUGUCUAAUAGGUGCAUUAUUUCCUAUAUAUUCAUAUAAUUUAUCUUUAUCCUUGGGUUUUGUUAGGUCUUGGUUUUAAAAGUGUCUUAUUAUUUUUCUUUUCUCAAAUUUAGCUAAUCUACGCACUUAGGACACUUUUUAUGAUAAAUCAUCUUUCUGAAGGAUUUUUGAUACAAGGUCAGUUGGAGAAGGAAUGUAUAAGGCUGAAAAGCGUUGUGUCUGAAUUUUCAUAUUUUUCCAUGGAGCUUGCCAAACAUAUUUUAGGUUUGCAAAUCAAUCCUGCGAAAGGUACAUUCUCAUCAGAAUAUGGCUACUGUGGAAGAAUGAAAAUUUCAAGGCAGUCUCGAUUUUUAUAAUGACGUGCCAUAUAUUAUUAGAAAGAUAAGACAUAGAGCUACAACUUUCUAUUUUUCCGUAACUUUAUGGAAGGUGUAACAACCCAAAUUUGGAAUUCAAAGUGAUUGAAGUGUUUCCCAAGCCAAGAGGGAGUCUUUCCUAGUUUGUCUCUAAUAUUCUUUAAGUCUUUGUUUCAUUUUAGAAGAGUUUUUACCAGACCUUCUAAAAUUUUUCUAGUAUAUAAUGCGUCCUAAGUUUUCUUUACAUAGUACCAUACAUACAAAUUCGUCCAAAACAGAGAAUAGGGUUUAGGAGCACAUCAUCGUUGUUAUUUUGGGUACUAUUGUUCUUUUUCAUGACUUUUAUUGUUAUUGUUAUGACUAUAUAACUUGACACCUUUGCUAGGGCAUGAUGAAACGCUAAUAUGAUGAUCUAGUUUUCUUAUUUUGCCUAUCUUAUGACUCUGAUAGGAUCAUAUUUAUGCGACUUAGUUAGCUUGUUUUCUUGCAUUUUCAUAGUUUAUUUGUGUUCGUUAGAGUGUUUAAGCUAUUUUCGUGUGUUUGUAGGUCCAAAUGACAAAGUUGGCAAGAAAGUGCAAAUUUGGGGCAUUUUGAGGCAGUUUUGGGCAUCAAAUGGAUGGCUUAUGAAUGGAGCAAGAGGGAUGGAUGAAUUUGAAGUUCAAGAGGCUAGGAAUGUGCUGAAAAGAUGAAGGAAAUAAAUCCAAGACAAAGAAGAUAAGGAAUCAGCUCAAAAGAAGGAACAUUAUCCAAAACCUUAUCCAACCUUAUAUUAUCCUUGCCUAAAUCUAACUUUAUCCUAUAUUCUAAGGGUUAAUUAUACAAAUAAAACACAUUAAAAUUGGUUUCUAGAAGCCCUUAUCCCCUCCUACAAAGGUGCCGCACCUUAUCCCUUGUUUUUCUAAGAAUCAGCAAAACAACCUUUCUACAAGGCCUUAUUCCUUGUCCUACAAAUCUGGCGCCCCAAACCUUUCUAGAAGUUCUAGAAACCUGAUUCUACCUUUCCUUGUUGGUUUCUGCCCUUCUAGAUGACCCUUUUCCUUCAAGGAUUGUGUUAUUAUUUUCCUAUACAAAUUAGGCCUUGAAAUCCUUUUCUUUUGCUACAUAGUUGCUGCACUUAAGCCCUAUAAAUACACAUAUAUGCCGCACCAUUCAGUUGACCACCCGCUACCACAAUUCACUACACCAUUCAUCAUAAAUCCCUCAUUGUGCCGCAGCUAAGGAAGGAGAAAAAAGGAAGAAACUUGGAGCCGUGCUUGCUAUUCAAGAAGAUUGGAUUGCUGGAGCGUUCUUAGGUGUAUUCUAUCUUUGAUUUCAAUGUUUAAUUUAAAUUAUCUUUGUUUAAUUGCGAGCACGAGGAACUAAUUUCUUUAUAGUUGGAGGUGAAUUAGAAGCUAUGAUUAUAUGUUUUAUAUGAAUUGAUUUCCUCCAGUUAUUGUUUCAUGAAUCGUGAAUAUGGUUUACUUAUCUGUUUUAUUAAGAACUUGUUCUUGUAUGUUGAUUAUGGUGGCCAACUUAGUUUGCGUGCUUGAAUUUGAUGCUAGAGUAUAAGGGAAUUUCACCUAAUCGUUACUGAUGCGUAAAAUAACUAAACACACAAAUUAACCCUCUUGUUGACAAUUGUAGUAUGGAUAAGUAGGGAUCGUUCUUAAACCGGGGAUUAGGAGGGAUUGCUAAAACACUCUAACUGACUCAAAUCUGUAAAACAAAGUUUAAAAUACUAAACUAGACUCAAAGAAUGCAAAACUAAACUCUAAAACACUAAAACAAACCAAAAGACUCAAAACAGCAAACAAACACUCAAAACUGCCUAAAAACCACUUUCUGGGCAGUUUUGGGACUCUAACACAACUUGGACGAAUUUUGGUUUUCUAAUGACCUAAAACACCUAAAAACAUAUUCUAAGACAAGUUCUAGUUAAUAUGACUCAAAGAAAUAAGAUGGGGUUGAUUUUGGACGAAAAUAAAUAAAACAAAGCAAGAACAAUGUAAACAGAUUUUUAGACAGAAUUAAGUAAAUUGAUGGGUUAUAGACUAACUAGAGGGUUCUUCUCCACACAUGAUACACUUGCAUUCAACUUUGAUUUCCAAUUGCUUCUUUCAAUAAACUAUGAAUCUCAACGCCCUAGGUUAACUGUGAUAGCACUUUUUUAACCUUCAAGUUUUCCUAAAGUUAGUGAAUUGGAUGGGAAUGCACAUGCAACAACUGAAAACAUUCUCUAAAAGUCCCUUACGUGAAAAGAACAAUAAAGGUACAAUCAAAGAUCAUUAAGCUUCAUGAAAACUAUAAGCAUUGACGAGGCAAUUGUUACUAUGAAAAGCAUGAAACGUUUGCCAAGAAUUCACUUAACACGAUCGUUUAUAAGCGACCUCCACUACUUGCAAACAUAAGGUUGUAACUAUUAGGUGAAACUUCCUUAUGUUUUAGCUUCAAAUUCCUGCACGAAAACUAAGUUGGCCACCUCAAUUAACACACAAAAAUAAGUCAUCAAUCAAACGGUUAAGCAAAUUGCAUUCACAAUUCAUAAAAUAAAAAUUAGACCUAAUCAAUUCAUCUUGCAAGCAUAAUCAUGGUAUCGAAUAACCCCCUAGCCAAAAAGGCUUAGUUCCUCAUGUUCACAAAACAAAGGAAAACAGAUUUAUACAUUGUAAAUAUAAGAAAGAGAAAACCUAAAUAUUCCAACGAUUCGAUGUUGAACAGCUAGAACCUUCAAGUACUUGUUCUUCCUCUCCUUUGCUGCGGCACAAGGGUUGGGGGUGAGUUUUGGGAGUUAUGGAUGAUGUAGAAUGAUAGGUUUAUGGGUUGGAUGAAUGUAGGGGUCGGCUAGGUAUGUUUCUGGGCAGAAAUUAGAGUGAAUGGUGGUAGAAUGGUGCGGUUGAGAGUGGAGGCUAGUUUCUGGCGUGAAUGGAUAGUAGAUGGAUCUUUUGUGGCUGCAAAAGAGAGUUUUAUUUAAAGGAUUUCAGGAAUUAAAACCCUAGGUUAUUUAGGUAAUCAGAAAUUAAGUCUAAGGCUUCUAGAAAUAAGAAACAAAAUCAGAAAAUUAAAGGAAAAGGUUAGGAAAGUGUUUGAAUGCGGCAAGGGUUAAAAAUAGAUUAGGAAAGUGUUUGAAUGCAAGGCAAGGAAGAGGAAAUACCAAGGGGGUGCGGCAAGGGUUCACAAUGUGCAAGGGAUGUGUAUUUUGAUGUCCUAGAAUGCUUAGGAUGCCUUCAAAGUUGAUAAAACUUAGGAACAUUUAGGAAAGGUGAAACUAAAGUAGGAAACCUUGGCUUAACUUUCCUAUUUCAAGUAGGAAUCCUUCUUGGAGUAGGAAUCCUUGUUCUUCUAGGAAUCCUCAUGUGAUUAGGAAUCCUUCUUCAAUUAGGAAUCCUUCGUUGAUUAGGAAUCCUAAUUUCUUCAAGUCUUCAAUUCAUCCAUUCCUUUUGCUCCAAAAGGCUCCAAAUUACAUCAUUUUGCACACUUCGGCUUUGGAAUCUGAAAACACACAAAAGUGACUUUAAACACUAAAAUAACUAAAGAAACACAACGUAAAUGCACGAGAACAAGCCAAUUAAGUCGCAUAAAUAUGCUCCUAUCAGUUAUGAACUUAUAUUCAUGAGUAGUAAAAGUCGCUAGUCACGAUUGUGUUAAGUAAAUCCUAGGCAAGAGUAACAUGCAGUUCAUAGUUAUAAUUGCCUUGUCAAUGCUUAUGAUUUCCAUGGAACUUAAUGAUCUUUGAAUGUAUCUUGAUGUGAAAAUUAACUUGACACACAAAUUAAACCCUCUUUUUGUCAAAUUGUAGCAAAGAUGUAAGUAGGGAUCGUUCUAGACCGGGGAUUAGGAGGGAUUGUUAAACGCUUGGAAACUGACUUAAACACUCAAAAACAAAGUUAAAAACACUAAACUAGACUCAAAGAAUGCAAAACUAAAAGUUAAAACACUUAAACAAACCUAAAAACCAAAACAGCAACUAGAAGGCUCAAAACUGCCUAAAAACCACUUUCUGGGCAGUUUUGAGCACCUACACUAAUUUGGACGAAAUUUGAUGAAAACUUGAAUCAAAAUACUUAGAAACACAAAUCAAAACACUUUCUAACUAAUCUAAGACUUCAAAUUAAAGGGGGAUUUUGUUUUGACGAAAAUUAAACUAAAGAAAACAGAUUGGAAAUAGGGCAGAUUGUAAAAACGAUUUUGGUGAAAUAGAUGGUUAAAAGGCUAGUUAGGAGGUUCUUCUCCACACAUGUCACACUUGCAAACAAAACGAUUUUCAGUUGUUCUUCCGAUAAACUAUGAAUACUCAACGCCCCAAGUUAACCGUGAAUUGCACUAAUUAACCCUCAGUUUUUCCACAAGUUAUUAAGUUGGAUGAUUGCAUACGACUGAUAGGAGUAUAUUUAUGCGCCUUAGUUAGCUAGUUCUUAUGCAUUGUUGUUAUGUUUUCUUCGUCAAAGUAGUCUUUUAAGCUACUUUCAUGUGUUUUCAGGGUUAAAGGACAUAUUACACGAAAUGAUGCAAUUUGGUGCUUUUGGAGCAAAAAGUGAGCUGGAAUGUGGUGUAUGCAAAUGGAGCACGAAGAAUGGACGAGUUUGAAGGUCGAGGGAGCUUAAGAAAUGAAGAAAUGAAAGUAAAGAACAAAGAAGUCGGAAUUGGCAACUAAAGUUUCUAAAGUUGGAAGUUUCUAUUCUUGGAGGUUUCCAUUUUCGAGAGUUUCUAUUCUUGACUUUGGGCUUUUGGAUGACCCAUCUUUGCCUCUUGGACCUAUGCCGCACCUAACCCUAACCCUAACCCUAGCCCACUUAAUCAGCCGCACUUAGGCCUUGUUCACAUGAAAAAAAUCUGAUUACUUACCCUAAGCCCAUGCCGCACCUAAUGUUCUAGAAACCCUAGUUUUUGGUGGAUUUCCUAACCCUAGCCGCACCUAAACCCUAGCCCAUUUGUCUAACCUGAUUUCUUUAGGGUUUGGCUGCCUAUAUAUAUGUGUUUUACCUCCCUUGGCCAGGGAGACCCUCUCUCCAUAUUCAGAAUUUUCGUCGUCCAUACUUUCAGCCACACCAUUCUACACAAAUCGGAAAAUCCCAAAAACCACAAUUCUAACCAUUUUUCUUCCUUGCCGCAAGCCAUCUACCACCAUCUUUCCAUAUUUUCUAACCUUCCCCCAUCCUUUUGCCGCAACACAUCCAUUCCACCAAAGAGAGGAGCUUUGCCGUGACCUUAGGAGAGGAGGAAGGCUUUGCCGCAUGCAAUCUUCAACCAUUGGAGUUUCUAGAGUUCUUUCUUCCCUUGCUUCUGUUUUCAUGUUUAAUUUAACUUGCUGUUCAAUUAUGUUAAACAUGUGGAACUAAUUUCUUUUUAGUUAGAGGUGAAUUUGAAGCCAUGGACAUAUGUUUUUAUAUGAUUUGAUUUCUUCCAAUUAUGAUUUCAGAAAUUGUGAAUGUGAUUUACUUAUCUAUUUGAUUGAUAACUUGUUUAUGUAUGUGGGUUGAGGGUCGACACUUAAUUUGCAUGCUUAAACUUGAUGCUAGGGUAUAAGGGAAUUUCACCUAAUCGUUAUUAACUUAUAUUCGUAAGUAGUGAAAGUCGCUAGUCACGAUUGUGUUAAGUAAAUCCUAGGCAAGAGUAACAUGCGUAUCCCAUAGUUAUGAAUGCCUCGUCAAUGCUUAUGAUGUCCAUUGAACUUAAUGAUCUUUGAUAUGUGUCUCUAUCAUGCGUAUUCCAUAGUUAGGGUCCUUGAUAAGAAUAAUUUGGUUGUAAUGCGUAUUCCAUUCAAUUCAAUGAAUCUAGGGAAAUCUGAGAAUUAAUUGGUGCAAUCUAGUUAAUUUGGGGCAUUGUCAUUCAUGGUUUGUUGAAAGAGUAAUUGGAGAUUGAGUUGUAUGCAUAUGUUCAUGUGUGGAUAAGGAACCCUCUAACUAGCUUCUCACCAUUCUAUUUCAUCACAAUCUGUUUUGCUUUAAGUUUGUUUUCAAAGUUUAAGUUGUAAAGUUUCAAUUUUCGUCAAAAUCAUUCCCCCAUUUAUUUUAAAGUGUUAGAUUAGUUAGAGAUCCAUUUAGUUGUGUUUUUAAGUGUUUUGAGUCAAGUCAUAGUCCAAAUUCGUCCAAACUAGUGUUAGGUACUCAAAACUGCCCAGAAAGUGGUUUUAAGGCAGUUUUGAGCCUUCUGGUUGCUGUUUUGAGUUUUUAGUUUGUGUAGGUGUUUUAAAUUCUAGUUUUGCAUUAAUUGAGUCUAGUUUAGUGUCCUACAUUAUAAUUUUAUGUUCUUGAGUCAGUUUUACAUUGAUUAGCAUCCCUAGUUAAUCCCCGGUCUAGAACGAUCCCUAUUUGCUCAUAUACUACAAUUGUCGUCCAUAGGGUUUAAUUUGUGUGUCAAGUUAAUUUUCACAUCAACGACAACCCAAAACAUUCCCUACAAGUUCCCUACAUGAAUUGCAUAAUAGAGAUACAAGCAAGAAUCAUUACGUUCUAUGAAAAACAUAAGCAUUGACGAAGCAUUUGUUACUAUGAAUUGCAUGAAACUUAUGCUAAGAAUUCAUUCAACGCGAUCGUUUUCAAGCGAUCUUUUCACUACUUUCUUGAUUAUUAUAAGAUUGUAACUAUUAGGUGAAACUCCCUCAUAAUCUAGCAUCAUAUUCAUGCAUGAAAACUAAGCGUGCACUCUCAAUCAACAUACACAAAUAAGUUAUCAAUCAAAUAGAUGAACGAAUUGAAUCCAUAACUUAUGAAAUAACAACUGAAUGUAAUCGAAUCAAAUUGCAAGCAUGUACAUGGUUUCGAAUCACCCCCCAACUAAGGGGGUUUAGUUCCUCAUACUCACAACACAAAGUUUAUUGAAUUGAAACAUCGAAGACAUAAGAAAGAUUACACCUAAAAUGCCAAAGAAUUCCACUUUGAAUUCUGCACAGCAAGCUCCUCUUUCUUCUUCUCCUUGCUGCGGCAGAGAGGGUUUAGGGGAUUUUUGGGUAGUUUUGGAUGAUUUUGGACGAGGGAGAAUGGUGGAAAAAUGUCUAGGAUGGGUGUAGGGCACAGCUAGGAAGGUUUGGGGUCAGAAAAUAUGGAGUUGGGUGAAGGUUGGGCUCGGCAAAGGUGAGGGACAGGUUCUGGCGUGAAUGGAGUUUUCUGGAUGUGUUUUUGGGUUUUGAAAGGUAGAUAGGAUAGUAUGGUGGUGCGGCAAGGUGUGGGAAUGGUUUAUGGAGGUGGAGAAUGGUGUAUGGAUGUGUGGAAUGGUGCUGGAAUGGAUGGAAGCUGCGGCAAAAGGUGGGAAAGGUUGCUGGAAUGGGUGGUGGCUGCGGCAAGGAGGGGAUUAGGGUGAUGGUGAUUUUUCUGAUUUGUGUAGAGGGAAUGAUGAUGUGCGGCUAGGGUUUAGAAAUAUAUAUAUAGGCAUUUAAAAACCCUAGCAAAUCAGAUUAGGGCCUCUAAAACACAAAUCCAUCAGAAAUUAGGUUGAAACAAUUAGACAUUUAGUGGGAAAAAGGGCCUAGGGUGCGGCUGGUAUGUGGGCUAAGGUUAGGGUUUCUAGAAACCCUAACAAGGCAAGGCAAAGUGAUUCUAGAGCGCCCAGGUGCGGCAUAGGAUGAAGGUCCAUAAGGAAUUUGGGUUUAGGUCAUCUAAAAGCCCAAAGCCAAGAAUAGAAACUCACGAAAAUGGAAACCUCCAAGAAUAGAAACUUCCAACUUUUUAGAAACUUUGGUUGCCAAUUCCGGUUUAGGAAAGAUCAACCCAAAAUGGAAACUUUUAGGCUUAGCUUUCCUACAUCAAGUAGGAAACCUCAAAUCUUCAACUCUUCAAUUCCAUCCCAACCUUGUGUUCCAAGCAUGUCCUUUUCAAUCCAAGCUCACUUUCUUGCUCCAAAAGCUCCAACUUGCAUCAUUUCAUGUAAUACGUCCUUUAACCUGAAAACACAUGAAAGUAGCUUAAAAGACUACUUUAACGAAGAAAACAUAACAAAAAUGCAUAAGAACUAGCUAACUAAGGCGCAUAAAUAUGCUCCUAUCAUAUCUCUAUCAUGCUGUUCAUAUAGGGAACUUGAGAAGAAUAAUUUGGUUGUGAUGCGUUGUCCAUUCAAUUCAAUGAAUUUAGGGAAAUCUGAGAGUUAAUUUGGGGCAUUGUCGUUCAUGGUUUAAAGAAACAAUAUUGAAAAUCGAUUUAUGUUGCAUAUGUUCAUUUGUGGAGAAAGACCCUCUAACUAGCCUAUUUCACCAUUCAAUUCAUCCAAUUUUAUACCUAGUUUGCUUUAGUUUACAAUCUGUUUAAUUUAAUUAAUUUUAUCCAAAUCAAUCCCCCUCUCAAUUAAGUGUCUUAGAUUAGUUAAAAUGGUGUUUCAAUCUGUCCAAAUUAGUGUUUUGAGUCUCACUAGUGUUAAAUUCGUCCAAAUAGUCCUUAGAACCUGUUUUGAGUCUUUUUAAGUUAGUUUUGCUGUUUUGAGUGUUUUAGGUCAGUUUAGAGUCUAUAGAGUCUAGUCUUGUGUUUUUAAGUCUAGUUUAAUGUUUUAGAGUUUAAUUUAAGUAGAUUAGCAGCCUGAUGCGAAAUAUAUAAGCACACAAAUUAAACCCUCUUUUUAUCAGUUGUAGCAAAGUAUGUAAGUAGGGAUCGUUCUAGACCGGGGAUUAGGAGGGAUUGCUAAAUCAUUUGAAAACUGACUCAAAUACGUAAAAACAAGUUUAAAACACUAAACUAGACUCAAAGAAUGCAAAACUAAACUUUAAAACACCAAAACAAACCAAAAGACUCAAAACUGCCUUAAAAACACUUUCUGGGCAGUUUUGACACCUAACACUAAAUUGGACGAAAUUGGGUUAUAACUUGACUCAAGACCCUUAAAAACACAAACUAAAUUAAUUUCUACUUUAUCUAACACUUUAAAGUAAAUGGGGAAUUGGUUUUGACGAAAAUUGAAAACAAAAACAAAACUUGUAAAUUGCACAGAUUCUAAAACGAAUUUGAGAAAAGUGAAUGGAUGGAAAGCUAGCUAAGGGGUUCUUCUCCACACAUGUCACACUUGCAUACAAAACGAUUUCCAAUUGCUUUUCGAUAAACCAUGAAUUCCCAACACCCCAGAUUAACCGUGAAUUGCACUAAUUAACCCUCAAAUUUUCCUUAAGUUAUUGAAUUGGAUGAAUUGCAUACGACAACCAAAGCAUUCCCCACAAGUUCCCUACAUGAAUUGCAUAAUAGAGAUACAAGCAAGAAUCCUUAAGUUCUAUGAAAAUCAUAAGCAUUGGUGAAGCACUCGUUACUAUGAAUUGCAGGAAACUUAUGCCAAGAAUUUACUUAACACAAUUGUGAUCAACAACCUUUACUACUUGUGAAUAUAAGUUCAUAACGAUUAGGUGAAACUCCCUUAUAUCCUAGCAUCAACCUUAUGCAUGA
RNAcentral lists this long non-coding RNA (18234 nucleotides) under Malus domestica (apple). RNAcentral's name for it is "long non-coding RNA (MDOM_LNC019981)". Lineage: Eukaryota; Viridiplantae; Streptophyta; Magnoliopsida; Rosales; Rosaceae. The record is from RNAcentral.